UGAUGUGAGAAUGACCUGGCUACAAAAUCUGUCACCCCAUGAUGACCAGUGUAAGAUUGGGCUCAGCUGGCUGGGCUAAAAUCCUAUUCUUCCCCCAAAGCUCCACCUCCCAAACCUGCACACUUGGGCCGAGAAGGUACAUUUCCAGGGAGAGAAUAUCUGAUUUUUGACAAGAGACACAAAUGAGGCUAGCUCUCCUGCUAUGCACUUUAAACAAGAUGGCAGGUUCCAUUUGUCAUCAAACUGCAACUUGUUCUUUUAUUUACAUUUGUUAAAU
RNAcentral lists this small RNA (277 nucleotides) under Microcebus murinus (gray mouse lemur). RNAcentral's name for it is "7SK RNA (ENSMICG00000025075.3)". Lineage: Eukaryota; Metazoa; Chordata; Mammalia; Primates; Cheirogaleidae. The record is from RNAcentral.